RNAcentral lists this ribosomal RNA (254 nucleotides) under uncultured bacterium. RNAcentral describes it as "partial 16S ribosomal RNA". It matches the Rfam family "Bacterial small subunit ribosomal RNA", at positions 524 to 776 of the family's 1533-position model. The record is from RNAcentral.
UACGUAGGGGGCAAGCGUUGUCCGGAUUAUUGGGCGUAAAGAGCGUGUAGGCGGCCAGGUAGGUCCGCUGUGAAAACUCGAGGCUCAACCUCGAGAUGUCGGCGGAAACCAUCUGGCUAGAGUCCGGAAGAGGAGAGUGGAAUUCCUGGUGUAGCGGUGAAAUGCGCAGAGUAUCAGGAAGAACACCCGUGGCGAAGGCGGCUCUCUGGGACGGGUACUGACGCUGAGACGCGAAAGCGUGGGGAGCGAACAGG